CGAUACUUCGACUGUUCGUCGUUUGUUCCACUCACAGAAGCGGUGCCCUAUACAGUAAUUUACCCGGCUCACCUGAGCAAUUCGGCCAAGUGUGGAGGUGAUCGGAGCAAAGAGAAGCGGCGGCAAACAACUGCAGCUCUGUGUUGCACAGUAGACGCGCUUGAUUGGUGCUGGACGAAGGUUCGGCGAAGCUAAUUCAUCCCCUCCCCCACGCUCCUCCUCCUCCGACAAACAGCUGUGCCAGUCCGUUUAGGGAAGACUGCUGUGCUUCCAUUUAGGUAAGUUCCCUUCAGCCAAUAGCUUUGAAUUGAGGUACCCACGCUUCCAUUUUUUUUACUGAAAUCGCAGCAUUCUAGUCAAUAUUUUUUGGAUGCUUUUGUUGAUUACUCCCUGUAUAUGGCGUACUGAUCUCUUGGAUUCUUUAUGAUUUUGGUAUUAAAUAAGCAGCCAUUUUGAGAAAGGCUGUUGAGUUAAUUGCCCUCUGUUGAUUUAUUAUACUUGGUGUCAAUUUCGGACAAAGUUGAAAGCUCUGUGUUGAUUAAUUUGGGUAAUGUGUUAAUUAAUUCUUUAAGAUUGGUCUGUUAGAAUUAAUUUGGGUGCUGAGUUGAUUAAAGGUUUUUCACAAAAAGAUUGCUCUGUGUUGCUCUGUAAUGCGCUGUGUUGCUCUGGGCCAAUGUUGCAAAAAGAUCCUGUUCUUGGUAGGAAGAUGAAACCAAUUGAAUAGGUGUUGUUUGUUAUCUUGUGUAAUAGAUGUCAUUACAUGAAUGCCACUGUAGGUAAGAGAUUAAUGAGAAAAUUCAGAGCAAUUUCUUAAGUAAGUCAGGAAUCUGUUGAAUAAUUUUGAUGCUAGCUUAUGCAGUUCUAUGUAGUGCAACAAAUGAUUCGAGGAAUCAGAAAAUUGUAAGACAAUCUCCAAUACUUUUCGUAGUUCCUUAUUGUCUCCCUUUUCCUUUCUUGUUUGCCGCUAAGGUUGUUACUUUGAAAUAUGCCUAAUUUUGCUGUACAAGUACUGAUAAUAUAGCCAUUCUGACAGAGUAGAGUGUAAAUGUCAAAUCCAAUUUCCAUCAAUUGACCACUAAUUACACGAAUGCCUUUCCCUGCUUGGUAUGACUGACUGAUUGCAACGAAUUUGUUCCACCAAAGAGCUUGCUUCUUCAAGUUCUGUUUUUUGAGUAAGUUCAAAUGUAUUUUGGGUGCAUUGACCGUUAAAAUUCAUACUGAAGGUGUAAAUUAAAAACUGAACGAUGUAGUAGGGAAGCAUAAUUACCUCUGUAUGUCAUUUUCGUUAAGUAUUGAUGAAUUCAGAUGUGCAUACUCAACUUUUCCAGGCUCGGCAAUCUUUCUUUAUUCAAACUGUUCUGAAUCUCUAGGCCGAUUGUCACAAAGAAAACUGGCAGCUCUCGGUCAUAUUUGACAUUUGAGUUCUUUCAAUCUGAUUCUUUGUUGUUUGUAGAAUUCUAGGCAAUGUGCUUUUUACCACAUUGAUUAAAUAAUUAAUUACAGAGCAAUCAUUGUAAGACAUUGCUCUGUGUUGAUUAAUUCUUUUUACAACAAUAUAUUUAAAUCUUUAAUGCAAUCUUUUUUGAAUUAAUUCUUUUUAGCACAUUGCUCUGUGUUGAUUAUAAGAGUUUUUUCUGGUCAUUGGAUGGACCAUUUUUGAGGAAUAUGUAACGCAAAAAAGGAAAAAGGAAAUCUGGUAUUUUAAUUAAGAAUAUCUGUUGGUUUGAAGUGGUUCAAUGGCCAUUUUUUUACUGUAAGAGCAUUUUCUAUAGCUGCCAUCCAUUUCUAGCUUUGGGAACGAGUCAUAUGAUGCUGCAUUUAAUUAAAAGAAACUGAUUUCUAGAGCAAGUUGGUUGAAUUUGAAAUCAUAUUCCUCUUAUUUUUAUGUUUAAGUUCUGGAAAAAUUUGAUUUUCUCCUCCCUUAACGUGGUGAUGAUUGGCAUUCAAAUUCACAUAAAAAAAAAACUUUUGGAUUUUAAGUUCGAAUUUGAACAUUGCCCUUCCUGAUCGAAAAACUGCUUAUGUGGAUCGUAGCUAUUGAUUUUAAUGCCAAAGUAUAAGCUGGGAAAAAUACAGAGUUGUUACAAGGGCAGUGUAACUUGUCGGAGGUGAAAUAGGUGAAAUAGGGCUAGAGUUGUUACAAGGGCAAUGUAACUUGUCGGAGUUGUUUAAGAAGGUGUUAAAACUCUGAAUUCAUGUAUUCUUUUGACUGCAAAUAGCUAUCUGGUUAUGAACCAGUCAUUCGAAGGAGCACACAAAAAAUUUUUCACCUAAAUUGUGUACUUAUUGAGGCUUUGGUUUAAUUAAUCCAUGAGUAGUAGUAAUAUUUUUCAUGCCUUCAUUUGAUUUAGGUGAAAUAGGGGGUUAGCGGAAUUAGUGCAAAUUCUAUUGUUUGCUUUUUAAUAUUUUGAAUGUCGAAUUUCAUUUCUUUCUUGCACGUAUUUUUCUGUUCUAUUAUAGAGGUAGAUAAUUUUGCUGAAUUCCAAAAUUUGAGAUAUAGGUAUACAUUCUUUUGUUAACAGGUUUAUGCCGCCACGCACUAGAUCUAUUUCUAGAGGUUUGUUUUGGGGGUAGAAUUUUUUUUCUUUGCAUGUUGGACUGUUAAGAAUUGUAAGGGCUAAUAUUCACUUUUGCUCACAGUCGGAAAACUCAUACUUGCUGGUUCUGUUAGCACUGCUUGGUCUGAGUAUGGAGAGAACGACUUACAGCUUUGCAUCACCAAUUACUUCAAGGUAUUAUUGAAUUCGUCUCUUUUUCCAACCCCGUCACUAAUAUAUUGAAUUAACUAUUUUGUAUGCCCUUGAUUUUCAUGGCUGCCCUGGUUGUUCAUUGGUAUUAUUUGCACGUGAUUCAUCUGUAUUACUUCAAUAUUGCUCUAUAUUGGAAGUGGGGCUAUAGAUGCCAUUCAAUUUCUGUUUAGCAUCUUUAAUAGUCAAUUUUCGCUAAUCUUAUUUGUCCUAUAUAAAGCGUAAAAAACCAAUGGCUGGUAAGGUUGGUUCAUCAAGGUAAGGUCGAGCCCAAUUUCCAAUGGAGCGAGAGCUUGAAUUUGUGGAGUACUUGGUUGAGUUAUUAAUUAUGCUAAAAAGUCUAUUUUUCAUAUAUUUCAUUGAUCUAUUUAUACAAGUAACUAGGUUAAAUGGUCAGCCAUGUACAGCUGUAUAUAGUCUGUAAUUACAGACUAUAUACAGCUGUAUUCUUAGACUAAUUACAGCAGCUAUCUUAGACUAAUUACAUAGCUGUAUUCUUAGACUAAUUUCAGCAGCUAUCUUAGACUAAUUACAUAGUUGUAUUCUUAGACUAAUUACAGCUAAUUCCUACCAACUCUCCCCCUCAAGUUGGGGCAUAGAUAUCACAAAUGCCCAACUUGGAUAGAGAUGCAUUGAAUAAGUUACUAGUAACAGCAUGAGUCAUAAUAUCAGCCAACUGAUCUGAACUUCUAGUAUAGGGAAUUUCAAUUGUCCCUGAAUCAAGAUUAUCUUUGAUGUAGCUCCUAUCAAUUUCAACAUGCUUUGUCCGAUCAUGUUGAACAGGAUUAUUUGCAAUCUUAAUGGCUGCCAUAUUAUCACAAAAUAAUACCAUAGGACCUUUUGGACCAAACCCAAUCUCCUUUAAGAGAAUUUUCAGCCAAGAGAGUUCUGUGAUAGCAUGAUGCAUAGCUCGAUAUUCAGCCUCUGCACUAGAUAAUGAAACCACGUUCUGUUUUUUACUUUUCCAAGACACCAAGUUGCCUCCAACAAAAGCCAAAUAUCCAGAAGUUGAUUUUCUAUCUAACUUGCUACCAGCAAAAUCAGAGUCUGUAUAUCCAACAACAUCAAAAUGUUCGUGUUUGGAGAAUAAGACACCUUUUCCUGGAGCUAAUUUCAAGUAAGCCAAGAUUCGAUUAACAGCAUUCAUGUGUUGAUCACUUGGAUUGUGCAUAAACUGGCUAAUAACACUGACUGCAUAUGCUAAAUCUGGCCUGGUAUGAGUUAAAUAGAUUAGUCUACCCACGAUCCUUUGAUAUCUUUCCUUGUUUGUUGGAAUCUGAUCAGAAAAGAAGGCUAGGCCAUGAUUCACUUCAAUCGGAGUAUCUAUCGGCUCACACGCAGACAUACCAGUUUCAGCUAGGAGUUCCAAUGUAUACUUCCUUUGGGAAAGGAAGAGUCCUUGCUUAGACCGUGAUACUUCAAUGCCAAGAAAAUAUUUAAGAGUCCCCAAAUCUUUAAUCUCAAAUUCUUUGGCCAAGUAGCUUCGAAGGUUCUCUAUUUCUUCUUUGUUAUUACCUGUUACAAUCAUAUCAUCAACAUAGACAAGAAGUAUGGUAAUAUCAUUGUAGUUACGUUUAUAGAACAGCGUGUGAUCUGCUGAAGCUUGCUUGAAUCCAUACUCCUCCAUGGCAUGACUCAAUCUUCCAAACCAUGCCCUUGGUGAUUGUUUUAAUCCAUACAAUGCCUUUUUCAGUCUGCAUACCUUUCCUUCUUCUAGUGUAAACCCUUGAGGAGGAUCCAUGAAAACUUCCUCAGUCAACUCACCAUGAAGAAAGGCAUUCUUCACAUCAAAUUGUCGUAGAGGCCAGUCUAAAUUAACUGCAAGUGACAAUAUGGCUCGAACAGUGUUCAUCUUGGCAACCGGUGCAAAUGUCUCUUGAUAGUCAAUACCAUAGGUUUGAGUGUAGCCUUUUGCAACCAGUCUAGCUUUGUAUCUUUCAACUGCCCCAUCAGACUUGUGUUUGACAUUGAAUACCCAUUUACACCCUACGGUCUUCUUUCCCAUUGGUAACUCAACCAUUUCCCAAGUAGAAUUCUUUUGGAGAGCCAUCACAAAGCUAGACUGGUUGCAAAAGGCUACACUCAAACCUAUGGUAUUGACUAUCAAGAGACAUUUGCACCCUACGGUCUUCUUUCCCAUUGGUAACUCAACCAUUUCCCAAGUAGAAUUCUUUUGGAGAGCCAUCAUUUCUUCUACCAUUGCAUUUUUCCACUUAGGAUCAUCAAGGGCUUCCUGAAAAUGACUAGGAACAUAUACAGAAGACAACUGAAGAGCAAAUGUCAAGUUAGCCUUAGACAAACGGUGAUAGGAUAUAAAAUCAGAAAUUGGAUAAGAAACAUUGGAAGCUUUUGAAAAACCAAGUCUAUCAGGUUCUUUUCGUUCACGAAGAGGAUAUCUUCUAUUCUGAUCAAUAUUAGGAUAUGAGUCGAGACUUUCAGAAGAAGUACAUACCUUAGUGUCAAUCUUGGAAGAUUCAUUCGAUAGCAUGGUAGUAUCAACAAGGGAGGUACUAUCAUUAAGGGAGGUACAAGAAUCAGGAGGCAUAACAGUGGUAUCUUUUGUUCUCCUAGAAUAUCCUUUCCCAAAGAGAUGAACGGGUCUCUCACUAUUAGUUUCAAUUUUAUUUUCCUGACCAUCAUCUAAAACUAAGGAUUCCCCGUUUUCCUUUGCAUUCUCUAUACUUGAGAUCCAAAUCCUUUUUUCUCCUAGCCAUUGUUCUUCCUCUUCUCUACUUUUAAUCUCCCCCUGAAGAGGAACUGUAGACAUAUGUCCAGAAAAAUAAGACUCAUUUUCAUAAAAUUGAACAUCCAUAGACACAUAGUAGGUUCUUGUAGGAGGAUGAAAACAUUUAUAUCCCUUUUGUGAAUUAGAAUAGCCAAGGAAAACACAUUUGAUAGCACGAGGAUCAAGUUUAUCUCUAUGAUGAGAAUGAACAUGAACAUAGCAUACACAACCAAAAACCUUUGGACAAAUAUUAAGAGCAGAAGGAAUAGAAUGAAAUUUAGAUAACAUUCUCAAAGGGGUUUGGAAAUCAAUAACCUUAGCAGGCAUUCGAUUAAUGAGGAAAACAGCAGCCAUAAUAGCUUCAGCCCAAAAAUGUUUUGGAACAUGCAUAGUAAAACAUAAGGCUCGUGCUACUUCAAGAAAGUGACGAUUUUUCCGUUCUGCUGUGCUAUUCUGCUGGGGUGUGUAAACACAAGUGGUUUGAUGAAGAAUGCCAUGUUGUAUCAUAAAAUCAGCAAGAGAUCGAUUCACAAAUUCACGACCAUUAUCAGAAUGAAAAACCUUAAUUUUAGUGUUGAAUUGAGUAAGAAUCAUGUUAUAAAACUGAGGAAUAAUAUGACAAACAUCACUCUUAGAUUUCAUCAAAUAUACCCAACUGACUCUAGUACAGUCAUCAAUAAAAGAUACAAAAUAUUUAUGUCUUGAAGUAGAAGUAGUUGAGAAAGGACCCCACACAUCAGUAUAAACACAUGAAAAAGGAGUGACACUUUUAUUAAAACUAACUUUGAAAGGAACACGAUGGUUUUUUGCAUAAACACAUUGUUCACAUCUUAAGCUAGAAGUUGAAAUAUUGGAAAAUAACUUAGGAAACAUAUGCUCUAAAUAAGAAAAAGAUGGAUGUCCUAGUCGACGAUGCCACAGGAUUAUUCUUUCUAUUUCUAAUGUCCCACUUUUUGUUUGAAGACCUCGAGCAGAUAUUGUUAUGCCUUGAUUGUCUUCCCAGUAAUAUAAACCAUCCCUCUCCUUACCAAUGCCAAUCGUCAUCUUCGUAAGAUUGUCCUGAAAAACACAAUGAGUAGAGUGAAAAAUGACAGAACAGUUAAGAUGCUUUGUUAUUUUACUAAUGGAGAGGAGAUUAUUUGAGAGUUUAGGUGCAAGUAAAACAGAGGACAUAGAAAACUUUGGUGAAAGAGACACAUUUCCAGCGGCUAUGAUUGGUGUAAAAUUUCCAUUAGCAACCUGUACAGACUUCACAGGUGGAGAUGUAAGAGAGUCAAUGAUAGAAGAGUUACUAGUCAUAUGAUCAGUAGCCCCUGAAUCAAUAAUCCAAGUGCUAGGAUGAGCAGAAAUAACGGACAAACCAAAAAUACCUUCUUGAGAAGAUGCCCGAGACACAUGGGAAGCAGAAGAUGGAGUAGUGUCUAUGGCAGCAACGUUUUGAGCAACAGUAUUAUGAGCAAAUUUUUUAUUUUUCCUCUCAGCUUGCUUAAGUUUAUACCAUUCUGGAUAGCCAUGCUUCUUCCAACAAACAUCAAUUGUAUGUGUAUUCUUAUUGCAGUAGGUGCAAAAUCGAGACUGAGAAGCUAUAGAAUUUCCAUUAAUGGUAAUAGGAGUGCUCUUUUGAAUAGUUAGAGCUGAAGCCUCAAAGUGUGAUUCUGCUCCCAUGGCAACUUGUCUUUGUAGUUCUCGACGAACCAUGGAGUAGACUUCUUCUAAUCUUGGUAAAGGAGAAGUACUUAGAACACGGCUGCGAACUUGAUCUAACUUAUUAUCAAGCCCAGCAAGAAAAAUAUAAACUCGAUCUUCGGCAAUACGAUUUCUAUAUUUUUCCAUAUCAGCAGCACAUGUCAUGUCAUUGGGCCGUCGAUAAUCGAGCUCCAUAAAGGUUGAGUUUAAUUCGUUGUAAUAUUCUGCUAGAGGCCGACCAUCUUGUUGUAAAUGAAAAGUCUUCUUCAUUAGCUCAUAAACUUCAGAGGAAUCUGAUACAUCAAGGUAACUUCUUUUUACAGCAUCCCAAACUUCCUUUGAUGUGCCGCAUUGUACAAAGUGAGAUAUCAGAUUAUCACUCAUUGAAUUAAUGAGCCAAGAUUUGACAAGAGAAUCUUCAGCUUCCCAUUCAUCAUAACUUGAAUCAUCUACUGCUGGUGCAGCUUUUUUUCCAUUAAUAUAGUCCAUUUUUUUCCUUCCAGCAAUAUGCAUCUCCAAAAUCUUGGACCAAACUCGAUAAUUAGUGCCAUCCAAUUUAAUGUAGAUGGAAGAAGAAGCAUCUUGUAUGGUUAGAGUGGAGAGAUUCUUGCUGUUAGGAGAUUCAACAUCAGGUUUGGUUGACAUAUUGUGAUGUGAUUAGUGUUUUAGAGAAGAAAUUUCAGUAGUGUGGGCUAUUGAAAGAAUGGCUGGAAUCUUCAGAGAAGAGGAGAGCAAGGAAAAAACCCCAAUGCUCUGAUACCAAGUUAUUAAUUAUGCUAAAAAGUCUAUUUUUCAUAUAUUUCAUUGAUCUAUUUAUACAAGUAACUAGGUUAAAUGGUCAGCCAUGUACAGCUGUAUAUAGUCUGUAAUUACAGACUAUAUACAGCUGUAUUCUUAGACUAAUUACAGCAGCUAUCUUAGACUAAUUACAUAGCUGUAUUCUUAGACUAAUUUCAGCAGCUAUCUUAGACUAAUUACAUAGUUGUAUUCUUAGACUAAUUACAGCUAAUUCCUACCAACUGGUUGAAUUUAAACGGGCUAAUAGAAUGAAUAAGGGUAAUUUAAAGAGUGAGGUGUUCCCGGCAAUUGUUGAUAAAUUUGCCAAAAAAGGAUGCCACUUUGAUCCAGUUCAAAUCAAGGCGAAGUAUUAUGCAUUACGCCAUUUGACUCAAGAAUACAAUCGCAUGCGAUUGAGGGUGACUGGGGCCGGAUGGGAUUCCCUCCUUCAGACUGUAACCAUGGACGAAAGCAAAUGGCAAGCUGUGAUUAAGGUACUCCAAUUAAUUUUUUCUUUUGCAUUACAUAAGCUUAUACAGUGUAAAAACUAUUUUUUACCGUCCUUUAUGUUAAUUUUGGUAUUAAAUGUGUAGGAGAAUCCAUCUUUUGAGACUUACCACAACAAAGAUUGCCAUGUCUUCUACAUAUUGUCGGAGGUGUUUGACAAAAUGGAUGCCCAAGGCCAAUAUGCUAGGGACUCAAACCAACCAUCAGUUGACAUCAAUGACGAGAUAAGAGCGAGGCAAAGUCAAGCAUAUGACAAUAUGGGUGGCCAGGGUACGGAGCACGUGGACCUGACUAAUGAUAUGACGCCUCCUAUGCAGUCAAUUGGGAAAUCGGAUGCCAAACAUUCGAAAGGCAAAGGCAAAGGGAAAAGGAAGACUCCAGAAUCUUCAUCCGCCAAAGACAGCGACCUCCCGCCCGGUCUAAGUCGCACCUCAUACAAUAAUGCACUAUCUUGGAUGGAUGUGACCUUUGCUGCCGAUCGGACCAUGUCCCAGAGCGUAGAUGCCCCAUCUCCCCCACCUGCUGCUACUCCAGCUUCUCCUCCUACGAUUUACGUGGAUGAUGACCUGUACUCUG
Molecule: long non-coding RNA, 9018 nt
Filed under: Coffea arabica (coffee)
Lineage: Eukaryota; Viridiplantae; Streptophyta; Magnoliopsida; Gentianales; Rubiaceae
Description: long non-coding RNA (CARA_LNC005262)
Source: RNAcentral